CAAGAUAGUGUGAAGCAAGAUCAAUUUAUGGUGCCAACAAAAGCUUCAUCAAUGGAGGACAAAUAUUAAUCUCAAAAGCUUCGCACUAUCUUCAUCAAGAUAGUGUGAAGCAAGAUCAAUUUAUGGUGCCAACAAAAGCUUCAUCAAUGGAGGACAAAUAUCAAUCUCAAAAGCUUCACACUAUCUUCAUCAAGAUAGUGUGAAACAAAAUUAAUUUAUGGUGCCAACAAAAGCUUCACCUAUAAAGCUUCAACCCCAAAGCUUCACCUAUAGAGCUUUAACACCAAAAGCUUCACCUAUAAAGCUUCAACCCUUCAACACCAAAGCUUCACCUAUAAAGCUUCAACACCAAAGCUUCACCUAUAAAGCUUCAACACCAAAGCUUCACCUAUCAAGCUUCAACCCCAAAGCUUCACCUACAAUACAAAAUUUCAACACCAAAACAUAUAAAAGCUUCACACACUCUUCAUCAAGAUAGUGUGAAGCAAAAUCAAUUCAUGGUGCCCAACAAAGCUUCAACCUCAAAGCUUCACCUACAAAGCUUCAACACCAAAGCUUUACCUACAAAG
RNAcentral lists this long non-coding RNA (569 nucleotides) under Malus domestica (apple). RNAcentral describes it as "long non-coding RNA (MDOM_LNC015686)". The record is from RNAcentral. Lineage: Eukaryota; Viridiplantae; Streptophyta; Magnoliopsida; Rosales; Rosaceae.